UCUCCCUCAUCCUCUUCUGCACUAUAUUCUCCUCCUCUCUCUCUCCUUCUCUUCACGCACGCAGCAGCAACACCAACACAGAAGGCUCGCCUCCACUUCACUCACGCAGACAGCAAGGUCUCAUCCUCUCUAGUCUCUCUUCUACUCAAGGCAGUCCCUCUAUGUCUCUUAAGGCACUCUCUUUUGGCUACUUCUCUAGUAAACUCGGAGAAGAAGAUGAGUCGCUCAGUUUUCUCACACUUCCUUAAUCUCUCUACCUCAUCUCCUUGCCUCGCUACUUCACUGUGCAAUGGUAGGUUUCAAAGCAAGUACUGGAAAGAACCUGCCAUCAUUGCUCAUCGCCAAAGGAAUUUCAAGGGUUUUCGAUGCGUUUGUAGUGUUUUGCCUACUGAACCUGCAGUUGAAGAAACUCCAUCCAGUUCUCUGAGGAAAAGAAUUGUGUCUGGAGUCCAGCCUACUGGAUCCAUCCACCUGGGGAAUUAUCUUGGUGCAAUUAAGAACUGGAUUUCACUUCAGAAUACAUAUGAUACUCUCUUUUUCAUUGUGGAUCUCCAUGCGAUUACAUUGUCGUAUGAUGCACAAAAAUUAUCUAAGGCCACCAGGGAUACAGCAGCUAUAUAUUUGGCUUGCGGAGUUGACACAUCAAAGGCUUCAGUUUUUGUACAAUCUCAUGUUCGAGCUCAUGUCGAAAUGAUGUGGUUAUUAAGUUCUGCAACACCUGUUGGGUGGCUGAACAGGAUGAUUCAGUUUAAAGAGAAAUCACUCAAGGCGGGAGAUGAAAAUGUAGGGGUUGGUCUUUUAACUUAUCCUGUCCUGAUGGCUUCUGAUAUUCUAUUAUACCAGUCUGACUUUGUCCCAGUUGGGGAGGAUCAGAAGCAGCACCUAGAGUUAACACGUGAGCUGGCUGAACGUGUGAACCAUUUAUAUGGAGGAAGGAAGUGGAAGAAAUUAGGAGGGCGAGGGGGUUCCCUUUUUAAGGUUCCUGAGCCUCUUAUACCACCAGCUGGAGCUAGAAUCAUGUCUUUGACGGAUGGUCUUUCCAAGAUGUCCAAGUCUGCCCCUUCAGAUCAAUCUCGGAUCAAUCUUCUUGAUCCAAAAGACGUUAUAGUGAACAAGAUAAAGCGCUGCAAAACGGACUCUUUUUCAGGCCUAGAAUUUGAUAAUCCUGAAAGACCUGAAUGCAACAAUCUUCUUUCAAUAUAUCAGCUUGUUUCGGGAAGGACGAAAGAGGAAGUGGCCCAUGAAUGUCAAGAUAUGAGCUGGGGAAAGUUUAAACCCCUUCUAACUGAUGCCUUGGUUGAUCAUCUUGAUCCCAUCCAGGUUCGCUACAUGGAAAUAAUUUCUGAUUCAGCUUAUUUGGAUCAAAUUUUGGCUGAAGGUGCGACAAAAGCUUCAGAUAUAGCAGAUCCUACUCUUAGUAAUGUCUACCAGGCAAUGGGAUUCUUGCGAAGAUGACCAGAACCAAUGCCUCUGGAAGAAUUCAUUUGUAAAGACUAGUAAGACAGCAACCUUAAAUUUUUUUGGGUAUCCAUCGUUACUCACUAAUUGUUGGUGCAUAAAUUAAGAAUAUUCUAUAUUCCUGAGGAGAGUGAUGGUUUGUUGGAAGGCCCACAAACUCAAUGAUGCAGUUACCUCCGUUCAGAGAGGUGCGCGCCAAUCACCAGACUCCGGAGAAAUUGAGAAUCAUAUUCAUGGACCAAUGUUUAAAAUUACGCAAGAAAAAGGUGUUUUUUUAGAGCAUCUAAAGAUGAAUAAAAUGUCAAAAUUUAAACAUGUUAGAGUGCAAAAGGUGAAACAUGUUAGAGUGCUCAAUAUCUCAAAUGAUAGCCGCCUAUGGAAACUGGACCCGUCGGGAAUUUUUUCUUGUAAGUCAGCCUUCUCUUAGUUUACAUCUAACUUGAAUGGUAGUGGAGUCUACUGGACAAGGCCUUUAUGGAAAAGUUGUGUUCCUUCAAAAGUCAAAGUUUUUGGGUGGCUCGUGUCUUUAGAUAAAGUGAACGUUCAUGAUAAGAUGCAAAAGAGGAUGCCUUAUCUAUCCAUCUUACCUGGUUGGUGUGUUUGCUGCAAAGCUAGUGGGGAAGACGUUGAGCAUCUGUUCUUAGGCUGCAGUUUCAUCCGUUAAUUAUGGAUCAGGUUGAUAAAAGAAUUUAAUCUGUCGUGGGUUAUGCCAAGAUGUGUACCACAAUUGAUAGUUAGCAAAUUAAAUGGUAGCAAAGGUAAAACAAAGAUUUGGAGAACGACAAUACUAGCUAUAAUAUGGGUUGUGUGGUUGGAAAGGGAUGCUAGAAUUUUUGAAGGGGUCGGGAGUUCAGUAGAGGACACGUGGGAGAAAGUUAAAAUUUAGAGAGCUACUUGGGUUUUUAAAACCAAGUUUUUUCGAGGAUUUUGUCUUUCGUAAAUUUAUGUAGAGAUUGGAAUUCAUUGUUGUAAAGGAAAUCCUUAAAAAACUCUUAUUGUUUUCUCGGCAACUAUGGUGUGCUAACUAUCCUAAGUGUCUCUUUGUAAUAUGGUUUUCUUCCGUAAUAAGUGAGGCUUCUUAAUA
Molecule: RNA transcript, 2542 nt
Organism: Cannabis sativa
Lineage: Eukaryota; Viridiplantae; Streptophyta; Magnoliopsida; Rosales; Cannabaceae
Gene name: tryptophan--tRNA ligase, chloroplastic/mitochondrial
Exons: 3
Source: RefSeq, a predicted model, not a curated record